RNAcentral lists this ribosomal RNA (492 nucleotides) under uncultured bacterium. RNAcentral's name for it is "partial 16S ribosomal RNA". It matches the Rfam family "Bacterial small subunit ribosomal RNA", at positions 29 to 507 of the family's 1533-position model. The record is from RNAcentral.
AGUGAACGCUGGCGGUAGGCCUAACACAUGCAAGUCGAACGGCAGCACAGUAAGAGCUUGCUCUUACGGGUGGCGAGUGGCGGACGGGUGAGGAAUACAUCGGAAUCUACUUUUUCGUGGGGGAUAACGUAGGGAAACUUACGCUAAUACCGCAUACGACCUACGGGUGAAAGCAGGGGAUCUUCGGACCUUGCGCGAUUGAAUGAGCCGAUGUCGGAUUAGCUAGUUGGCGGGGUAAAGGCCCACCAAGGCGACGAUCCGUAGCUGGUCUGAGAGGAUGAUCAGCCACACUGGAACUGAGACACGGUCCAGACUCCUACGGGAGGCAGCAGUGGGGAAUAUAGGACAAUGGGCGCAAGCCUGAUCCAGCCAUACCGCGUGGGUGAAGAAGGCCUUCGGGUUGUAAAGCCCUUUUGUUGGGAAAGAAAGGCAGCAGGUUAAUACCCCGCUGUUCUGACGGUACCCAAAGAAUAAGCACCGGCUAACUUCGUG